ACGAGGAAGGGAACGUAACCCGGAGAAAGUCGGACUAAUACCGCAUAAAACAGGGGCACCGCAUGGUGAUAUUUGUUAAAGAAAUUCGCUGAUAGAUGGGCAUGCGUUCCAUUAGGUAGUUGGUGAGGUAACGGCUCACCAAGCCGACGAUGGAUAGGGGAACUGAGAGGUUGGUCCCCCACACUGGUACUGAGACACGGACCAGACUCCUACGGGAGGCAGCAGUGAGGAAUAUUGGUCAAUGGGCGGGAGCCUGAACCAGCCAAGUCGCGUAGAAGGAAGAAGGAUCUAUGGUUACGUAAACUUCUUUGCAGGGGAAUAAAGUGCAGGACGUGUCCUGUUUUGUAUGUACCCUGAGAAUAAGGAUCGGCUAACUCCGUGCCAGCAGCCGC
Molecule: ribosomal RNA, 392 nt
Filed under: uncultured bacterium
Lineage: Bacteria
Description: bacterial SSU rRNA
Rfam family: Bacterial small subunit ribosomal RNA
Source: RNAcentral